This 492-nucleotide ribosomal RNA is filed under the name uncultured bacterium. RNAcentral describes it as "partial 16S ribosomal RNA". It matches the Rfam family "Bacterial small subunit ribosomal RNA", at positions 29 to 507 of the family's 1533-position model. The record is from RNAcentral.
AGUGAACGCUGGCGGUAUGCCUAACACAUGCAAGUCGAACGGCAGCACAGUAAGAUCUUUCUCUUACGGUUGGCGAGUGGCGGACGGGUGAGGAAUACAUCGGAAUCUUCUUUUUCUUGGGUGAUUUCGUAGGUAAACUUACGCUAAUACCUCAUAUCUCCUACCGUUUAAAUCAUUAGUUCUUCUGACCUUUCCUGUUUCAUUUAGCCGAUUUCGGAUUAGCUAGUUGGCGGGGUAAAGUCCCACCAAGGCGACGAUCCGUAGCUGGUCUGAGAGGAUGAUCAGCAACACUGGAACUGAGACACGGUCCAGACUCCUACGGGAGGCAGCAGUGGGGAAUAUUGGACAAAGGGCGCAAGCCUGAUCCAGCAAUACCGCGUGGGUGAAGAAGGCCUUCGGGUUGUAAAGCCCUUUUGUUGGGAAAGAAAAGAAGCAGGUUAAUACCCCGAUGUUCUGACGGUACCCAAAGAAUAAGCAACGGCUAACUUCGUG